UCCAUUAGGUAUUGGAGAGGUUAUUUGGGUUGUUUUGGUCCUUAAAUAAAACAAGUUUUCGAAAUAAUUUUUUUUAACAAAAUCAAAAUUGCAGCAAUUAGACAUCAAUUCGAAUUCUUGGAAAUAAAAAAACAUCAAUUGGAAUUAACGCCGGAAAAAAAGAAGUUCAAAUUAACGAGCUCUCGAGGUUUUCUCUGCUCUUUUCAUCAGUUAACCACCGUCGCCGCCGCCAUCACCGUAACCGUCGAGCCUUCUGCACCGGUAAUUUGUCUCUGUCUGUGCGCUUUUUCACAGUCACUAGAAUUUUUACUUAUAUCAAGGAGAUUGAACAGUUUAUAUAUAAUCAAAGGAUUUCAUUUUUAUUCCAUUAGCACAAUACAAUUUUGCAACGAAGAAGAUUUAAUUGACACUAUCACUACUUGUGGCUAUAGAUGAAAUGGAUGUGAAAUUGUGAAUGGAAUGGUACAGAAAACUGAAUAUAGAGGAUAUGUGAUAAUAGGCAAUAUAGUUGUUAUUUACAUCAUAAUUGUCCAUGUUUUGUUGUUGUUUUAUAAUGUAAGUUGUCAAUAAAAUGCUUUAAUUAAUGAUAUUUGGUUUCACAGGGAAUAUAAGAUAUGAGGUAGCAACAUGAAGUGUUUAGAGGCAAUAACGUGAAGAAAACACCCACUCAAGAAGUACUCAAACACAAAAGAGCAAAAAGAGAAGGAACGCGGAGACAAAAAGGCCCAACAUACUCACCGCGGUUGCCACCGCGGUUCGUACGGCGGUUGGAGUCAGUGUUCUCCGCGGCGGCAUGUUCACAAUCCAGAAAUUUAAGGGGCCAAAGUGUCAAUUCGGGAAAACUUUUGUAAAACCUUUAUAAGAUGUAGGAAACUCGCCCAAGAGAAAUGGGGGCUAAUN
This 900-nucleotide long non-coding RNA is filed under the name Nicotiana tabacum (common tobacco). Its description in RNAcentral is "long non-coding RNA (NTAB_LNC011279)". The record is from RNAcentral. Lineage: Eukaryota; Viridiplantae; Streptophyta; Magnoliopsida; Solanales; Solanaceae.